GACUUAGGUAAAUCCGGGUUGCUAUUAAGACUGAGACACGAGACGAGUCACUACGGUGAUGAAGUUGUUGAUGCCAUACUUCCAGGAAAAGCCUCUAAGCUUCAGAUUAUAUGGAAUCGUACCCCAAACCGACACAGGUGGUCAGGUAGAGAAUACUAAGGCGCUUGAGAGAACUCGGGUGAAGGAACUAGGCAAAAUCGUACCGUAACUUCGGGAGAAGGUACGCUCCUAUCUGUGAUGAGACUUGCUCUCUAAGCGGACGGGAGCCGCAGUGACCAGGUGGCUGGGACUGUUUAUUAAAAACACAGCACUGUGCAAAAUCGCAAGAUGACGUAUACGGUGUGACACCUGCCCGGUGCCGGAAGGUUAAUUGAUGGGGUUAUCCUUAGGGAGAAGCUCUUGAUCGAAGCCCCGGUAAACGGCGGCCGUAACUAUAACGGUCCUAAGGUAGCGAAAUUCCUUGUCGGGUAAGUUCCGACCUGCACGAAUGGUGUAACCAUGGCCACGCUGUCUCCACCCGAGACUCAGUGAAAUUGAAAUCGCAGUGAAGAUGCUGUGUACCCGCGGCUAGACGGAAAGACCCCGUGAACCUUUACUACAGCUUGGCACUGAACAUUGAACCUACAUGUGUAGGAUAGGUGGGAGACUUUGAAGCAGCGACGCUAGUUGUUGUGGAGUCAACCUUGAAAUACCACCCUUGUAGUUUUGAUGUUCUAACGUUGGCCCCUGAAUCGGGGUUACGGACAGUGCCUGGUGGGUAGUUUGACUGGGGCGGUCUCCUCCUAAAGAGUAACGGAGGAGCACGAAGGUUGGCUAAGUACGGUCGGACAUCGUACGGUUAGUGUAAUGGUAGAAGCCAGCUUAACUGCGAGACAGACACGUCGAGCAGGUACGAAAGUAGGUCAUAGUGAUCCGGUGGUUCUGAAUGGAAGGGCCAUCGCUCAACGGAUAAAAGGUACUCCGGGGAUAACAGGCUGAUACCGCCCAAGAGUUCAUAUCGACGGCGGUGUUUGGCACCUCGAUGUCGGCUCAUCACAUCCUGGGGCUGAAGUCGGUCCCAAGGGUAUGGCUGUUCGCCAUUUAAAGUGGUACGCGAGCUGGGUUUAGAACGUCGUGAGACAGUUCGGUCCCUAUCUGCCGUGGGCGUUUGAGAAUUGAGAGGGGUUGCUCCUAGUACGAGAGGACCGGAGUGAACGAACCGCUGGUGUUCGGGUUGUCAUGCCAAUGGCAUUGCCCGGUAGCUACGUUCGGAACUGAUAAGCGCUGAAAGCAUCUAAGCGCGAAGCAGGCCUCGAGAUGAGUUCUCACUAGACUUUUAAAGUCUCUGAAGGGCCGUUGAAGACUACAACGUUGAUAGGCAAGAUGUGGAAGUGGUGUGAGCCAUUAAGCUAACUUGUACUAAUUACCCGUGAGGCUUAACCAU
This 1423-nucleotide ribosomal RNA is filed under the name Pseudoalteromonas distincta. Its description in RNAcentral is "partial 23S ribosomal RNA". It matches the Rfam family "Bacterial large subunit ribosomal RNA", at positions 1529 to 2925 of the family's 2925-position model. The record is from RNAcentral. Lineage: Bacteria; Pseudomonadati; Pseudomonadota; Gammaproteobacteria; Alteromonadales; Pseudoalteromonadaceae.